GACCACAGCUCAAAAUUGGCAAAGUAGAGUGUCAGUGACUUGAUUGCAAUACAAUUUUUGAACAUUUUUCUUUUUCUGAAUAUAUUUUGUUAAAUUCAAGUGAUGGAUAAUUCAAGAUCAGUUCUUGGACAAUCAAUGAAAAGGGAAGAAAAGAAAAAAUGGAUUCAUAAAAUAAAUUUCAUGUUACAAUUUACUUGCUUAGCUCUAGUUAUAAUAGACACAAAGGAAAAAGUUGAGGCCUACAAGCCAUCUGUGUGUGUGCAUAAUGUGAAGGCUGGCAAUGACAAGGAAAUCCAGAUUACAACUGGAAAACCUGCAGGCUUUAACAAAUCAGUUCAAAGAGGCUUUCAGAACCCAAUUCUUCUCCUUCAGAACUUGGGAGAGGCCUGAAAAUGUGUGAGACAGUGCAAAAAGUGAUCACAGUUUUACAGCUGCAAGCCACAGGGCUGGCUUACCCUUAGAUUGAUCCACUAGACAACUCUGAUGGACGGCAAUCUCCAGAGGUUGACCAACAGUUCUCUUCCACAAUACAUCUAGACUCCAACUGAGCAGACAGUGGGAACUGGAAGCAGAAUGACCCUUGUAUUGGAGUCUCAAGACAGGGGAACAUUGAUGGAGGAAAUCAGCCUUGGUACAGUCUCACCCACGGGAGCUGACCCUGACAUGAAGGAUAUCCCAAGCCUUCUCUUGUCUUGGAAAGAGCUUACUGGAACAGCCCAGAACAAAGUAGGUGAGGAAGCUAACUGUGAGGAAGCAAUGUCCUUGAUUAAGGGUGCAGUGUUUGAUCUUGUUCUUUGGUUGUCUUUUAUACAGGUGUGUUACUAUUUUCUCCUGGGUGAGAUUCUUUACCCUCUGUUGAGGUAUGCUUGAGAGACUCAGAACAAGGUUUAGAAGAUACAGGUAACCUGGUAACCAUGGUAAAUCUAAGGUGCUAGCAAAGGUACUCCUAAAAGUAAAAUGCUGUCAGUAGAGAAAUUAAUCUUCUUAGACUUAAAAUUAUGGUCCUUAUUUGGCCACUACCAGCCAGAAGACAAUCAUUCUAAGGAGUUCUAUAGAUGCAUUGAUGAGGUAGUGAGUACUCCUUAUGGAACACAAACUUCUUGACCAUAAGUGUUGAUUUUCAUUGGAUUUCAGCAUUGUUUUUGACAACAGAAGUGCCUAUGAACUCUGCUUUGUGGGUAACCUGACUGUUGUUUACAUGUGACUGUUUCUUCUGUGCAGAGGAGCAGCAUUUUGCUCCUCUUUGCUCUGACAGCUUAAUGCCGUGGGCACAAUAUACAUUAGAAACAUACUGUGGCUUGAAUUGGAGAAAUGCUGGAACUGGGAGUUCUGCAGGUGUGGUGGUUUUACUCAGAUGGGCAGCUGAGCUCCAACACGAAUGCUCUCUCACUCCUCCUCCUCAAAGGAAAAGGGGGAGAAAAUAUGAUGAAAAGGGCUCAAGGGUUGAGAUAAGGACAGGGAGAUCUCUCAGCAAUUAUAGUGACAGGCAAAACAGAUUCAGAGUAGGGAGAUUAGUAAAAUUUAUUGCCUAACAGGCUAGAGAAGUGAGAGACAAAGGAAAGAAACCAAAACCAUCUUCCCCUCAUUCACCAUCUUCUGCCUCCUCCCCCCGAGCGGCACAGGGGAACAGGGAAUGGGGGCUGUGGUCAGUACAUAGCAGUUUUUCUCUGCCACUCCUUCACAGUCACUCUCUGCCCCUGCUACAUAUGGGGUCCCUCCCACCAGAUGGGGUCCCUCCCACGGGAUGCC
Anser brachyrhynchus (Pink-footed goose) is the source of this 1749-nucleotide long non-coding RNA. NCBI's taxonomy places the organism in Eukaryota, Metazoa, Chordata, Aves, Anseriformes, Anatidae. The record is from Ensembl.